This 740-nucleotide ribosomal RNA is filed under the name uncultured bacterium. RNAcentral describes it as "bacterial SSU rRNA". It matches the Rfam family "Bacterial small subunit ribosomal RNA", at positions 51 to 797 of the family's 1533-position model. The record is from RNAcentral.
UCGAACGGAAGAUAUGCAGAGAUGAGAUUUCGGUCAAAUCAAGUGUAUCUUUAGUGGCGGACGGGUGAGUAACGCGUGGGUAACCUGCCAUAUACAGGGGGAUAACACUUAGAAAUAGGUGCUAAUACCGCAUAAGCGCACAUGGCCGCAUGGCCAGGUGUGAAAAACUCCGGUGGUAUAUGAUGGACCCGCGUCUGAUUAGCUAGUUGGUGAGGUAACGGCCCACCAAGGCGACGAUCAGUAGCCGGCCUGAGAGGGUGGACGGCCACAUUGGGACUGAGACACGGCCCAAACUCCUACGGGAGGCAGCAGUGGGGGAUAUUGGACAAUGGGGGGAACCCUGAUCCAGCGACGCCGCGUGAGUGAAGAAGUAUCUCGGUAUGUAAAGCUCUAUCAGCAGGGAAGAAAGAAAUGACGGUACCUGAGUAAGAAGCCCCGGCUAACUACGUGCCAGCAGCCGCGGUAAUACGUAGGGGGCAAGCGUUAUCCGGAAUUACUGGGUGUAAAGGGAGCGUAGACGGUGAUGUAAGUCUGGAGUGAAAGGCGGGGGCCCAACCCCCGGACUGCUCUGGAAACUAUAUGACUGGAGUGCAGGAGAGGUGAGCGGAAUUCCUAGUGUAGCGGUGAAAUGCGUAGAUAUUAGGAGGAACACCAGUGGCGAAGGCGGCUCACUGGACUGUAACUGACGUUGAGGCUCGAAAGCGUGGGGAGCAAACAGGAUUAGAUACCCUGGUAGUCCA